Molecule: ribosomal RNA, 434 nt
Filed under: uncultured bacterium
Lineage: Bacteria
Description: partial 16S ribosomal RNA
Rfam family: Bacterial small subunit ribosomal RNA
Source: RNAcentral
AGCGAACGCUGGCGGCAGGCCUAACACAUGCAAGUCGAACGAACCUUUCGGGGUUAGUGGCGGACGGGUGAGUAACACGUGGGAACGUGCCUUUAGGUUCGGUAUACCUCAGGGAAACUUGUGCUAAUACCGAAUGUGCCCUUCGGGGGAAAGAUUUAUCGCCUUUAGAGCGGCCCGCGUCUGAUUAGCUAGUUGGUUAGGGUCAUGGCUCACCAAGGCGACGAUCAGUAGCUGGGCUGAGAGGAUGAUCAGCCACAUUGGGACUGAGACACGGCCCAAACUCCUACGGAAGGCAGCAGUGGGGAAUCUUACGCAAUGAGCGAAAGCCUGACGCAGCCAUGCGGCGUGAAUGAUGAAGGUCUUAGGAUUGUAAAAUUCUUUCACCGGGGACGAUAAUGACGGUACCCGGAGAAGAAGCCCCGGCUAACUUCGUG